CAGACCCACGCCUCUCAACGUCUCCCAAAAAGACUGGAUUAGCAGGAUAUUGAUUUUGGGAUUAGAGAGGGUGUUGAUUUUAGGACAUAGCUUUUGGGAUUGGAGAAGCUUCUGUGCUUGUGCUGUGUGCU
This is a long non-coding RNA of Quercus lobata, 131 nucleotides long. RefSeq lists it as uncharacterized. The transcript has 3 exons. NCBI's taxonomy places the organism in Eukaryota, Viridiplantae, Streptophyta, Magnoliopsida, Fagales, Fagaceae. The record is from RefSeq and is a predicted model, not a curated record.